UUGAGAAAGAAAUACUAUUCUGCAAAAUAUGAAUGGCACCCAAUGAUGAUACUUUUACUCACCAACUUGAAAGAGCCACAAUAACUUUGAAAUUUUGUACCAUAAUGAACUUGAGAAAUAUAUUCUUCAGGCAGCUUGAAAGAAAUGAAAGAUCGUUGGUUUUCAGGAAUAAACAAAUUAGUAAAGGAACAUCAAGAUGAUAUUAAAAACCAAGGGUCUGUAUGCAAACCAUAAUGCUAUGUUAGGGCAACAAAGUGAAAUUUGAACCAUGCAUUGAAAAUACAGAAAAGGGCUCUCAGUAGCAAUGCAUAUCUACUUUUCAGCACAAGUAGGAUGUUUAUGAGAAUUCCAUUUUGUCUAGGAUGAAGAAAGUGGUAGAAUUAUUUCUCCCAAAAUCUGCUCAGCAAAUAGUUUAUCUCCAAAGAUUAUGAAGGCUUCUUCAGUGAUUCAGAAAGUGUGGAAAAGAAUGCCUUGAAAAAAAAGAAUUUUUCAGGAUUUAACAGUUGUAUAACACUUAAAAAACCAUUCAUGGGAAUUUGGUUGCCUUCAAGGUGGGAAAAAGAUUCAUGAUGUUGCUAUCAAAAGUUGAGAAAUUGUCAGAAGAAAUCAUGGAGAUAAUGCAAAAUUUAAGUAGUAUACAGGCUUUGGAGGGCAGUAGAGAGCUUGAAAAUCUCAUUGGAAUCUCCUGUGCAUCACAUUUCUUAAAAAGAGAAAUGCAGAAAACCAAAGAACUAAUGACAAAAGUGAAUAAACAAAAACUGUUUGAAAAGAGUACAGGACUUCCUCACAAAGGCAUUAAGAAGAAAUGCACUCACCAUGAGCACCAACUUCUGCAUCUGCCUGAUCAUAUUUAAAGGAACAGAGAAAUAUUUGUAAUUAAUCUGCCCAGUAAAUACCAGCUCGUAGCAGUUGGCAGGUGCAUGUCUAGAUAAAAUUUCUUGCAGCUAAUUUAAACUUUCUACACGCACCAGUAGAUAAUCUCAAUGUAAAUAAUACAUUUCUUCUUGGCUCUUUAAUGUAAGCCAACAUGGAGAGGAAGAUCUUGACUUAUAUUCUGUACCACAUACACUUCUGUGGACUUUUAGCAUUUGUGGGU
Molecule: long non-coding RNA, 1096 nt
Filed under: Homo sapiens (human)
Lineage: Eukaryota; Metazoa; Chordata; Mammalia; Primates; Hominidae
Description: non-protein coding lnc-ITGB3BP-5:7
Source: RNAcentral